RNAcentral lists this ribosomal RNA (549 nucleotides) under uncultured bacterium. RNAcentral describes it as "bacterial SSU rRNA". It matches the Rfam family "Bacterial small subunit ribosomal RNA", at positions 355 to 896 of the family's 1533-position model. The record is from RNAcentral.
UAGGGAAUUUUGCGCAAUGGGGGGAACCCUGACGCAGCGACGCCGCGUGGGCGAAGAAGGCCUUCGGGUUGUAAAGCCCUGUUGCCCGGGACGAAGUCUCCAGAGCGAAUACCUCUGGGGGUGACGGUACCGGGUGAGGAAGCCCCGGCUAACUACGUGCCAGCAGCCGCGGUAAUACGUAGGGGGCGAGCGUUGUCCGGAAUUACUGGGCGUAAAGGGCGUCUAGGUGGCCUCUUGCGUGUAAGGUUAAAGGCGUCGGCUCAACCGACGACGUGCCUUGCAAACGGGGAGGCUUGAGAACAGGAGAGGGAUGCGGAAUUCCCGGUGGAGCGGUGAAAUGCGUAGAGAUCGGGAAGAACACCAGUGGCGAAGGCGGCAUCCUGGCCUGGAUCUGACACUGAAGCGCGAAAGCGUGGGGAGCGAACGGGAUUAGAUACCCCGGUAGUCCACACCGUAAACGAUGGGUACUAGGUGUGGGAGGUAUCGACCCCUUCCGUGCCGGAGCUAACGCACUAAGUACCCCGCCUGGGGAGUACGGCCGCAAGGCUG